AUUGAACGCUGGCGGCAUGCCUUACACAUGCAAGUCGAACGGUAACAGGUCUUCGGAUGCUGACGAGUGGCGAACGGGUGAGUAAUACAUCGGAACGAGCCCAGACGUGGGGGAUAACGAGGCGAAAGCUUUGCUAAUACCGCAUACGAUCUAAGGAUGAAAGCAGGGGACCGCAAGGCCUUGCGCGUUUGGAGCGGCCGAUGGCAGAUUAGGUAGUUGGUGGGAUAAAAGCUUACCAAGCCGACGAUCUGUAGCUGGUCUGAGAGGACGACCAGCCACACUGGGACUGAGACACGGCCCAGACUCCUACGGGAGGCAGCAGUGGGGAAUUUUGGACAAUGGGCGAAAGCCUGAUCCAGCAAUGCCGCGUGCAGGAUGAAGGCCUUCGGGUUGUAAACUGCUUUUGUACGGAACGAAAAGGCUCUGGCUAAUACCUGGGGCACAUGACGGUACCGUAAGAAUAAGCACCGGCUAACUACGUG
This 482-nucleotide ribosomal RNA is filed under the name uncultured bacterium. RNAcentral describes it as "partial 16S ribosomal RNA". It matches the Rfam family "Bacterial small subunit ribosomal RNA", at positions 30 to 507 of the family's 1533-position model. The record is from RNAcentral.